Molecule: ribosomal RNA, 384 nt
Filed under: Chrysochromulina sp.
Lineage: Eukaryota; Haptophyta; Prymnesiales; Chrysochromulinaceae
Description: partial small subunit ribosomal RNA
Rfam family: Eukaryotic small subunit ribosomal RNA
Source: RNAcentral
AGCUCCAAUAGCGUAUAUUAAAGUUGUUGCAGUUAGAACGCUCGUAGUCGGAUUUCGGGGCGGGCCGACCGGUCUGCCGAUGGGUACGCACUGGUCGGCGCGUCCUUCCUUCCGGAGACCGUGCCUACUCUUAACUGAGCGGGGGCGGGAGACGGAUCGUUUACUUUGAAAAAAUCAGAGUGUUUCAAGCAGGCAGCUCGCUCUUGCAUGGAUUAGCAUGGGAUAAUGAAAUAGGACUUUGGUGCUAUUUUGUUGGUUUCGAACACCGAAGUAAUGAUUAACAGGGACAGUCAGGGGCACUCGUAUUCCGCCGAGAGAGGUGAAAUUCUCAGACCAGCGGAAGACGAACCACUGCGAAAGCAUUUGCCAGGGAUGUUUUCACUG